UACGGGGGGAGCAAGCGUUGUUCGGAUUUACUGGGCGUAAAGGGCGCGUAGGCGGUCGUGACAAGUCACUUGUGAAAUCUCCGGGCUUAACUCGGAACGGUCAAGUGAUACUGUCGGACUAGAGUACAGAAGGGGCAACUGGAAUUCUCGGUGUAGCGGUGAAAUGCGUAGAUAUCAGGAGGAACACCGGUGGCGAAGGCGGAUCUCUGGGCCGUAACUGACGCUGAGGAACGAAAGCAUGGGGAGCGAACAGG
This 254-nucleotide ribosomal RNA is filed under the name uncultured bacterium. RNAcentral's name for it is "partial 16S ribosomal RNA". It matches the Rfam family "Bacterial small subunit ribosomal RNA", at positions 524 to 776 of the family's 1533-position model. The record is from RNAcentral.